This 345-nucleotide long non-coding RNA is filed under the name Helianthus annuus (common sunflower). RNAcentral's name for it is "hypothetical non coding rna". The record is from RNAcentral. Lineage: Eukaryota; Viridiplantae; Streptophyta; Magnoliopsida; Asterales; Asteraceae.
UGGUGGCGGUUUUACCCUUUGUGGCGGCAGAGGGCCCGCCACAUGGUAAGGAUAAGGUGAGAUCAAGCCGGUUACCGUCCUCCAUUCGGUUUUUUCAAAAGAAUAUACGCCCACAAAUAAAUACAAUUUGGUGAAUUUCUUGUAAACCGAACUUUAAGGAACUCAACAGACUGUUUAAAGUUCAAACCGUCAUCCUUAUUCAGUUCACCUACAUAAAACUUAAUAAUGUCAUCCCAGAAAUUACCGGAAAAUGUUGGGGGAUGAAACCCUAGGAGUGAAGGUAGCUGACAAUUGGGAGAAUAGUUGGUAAAGGUGGAAUUUUUGGAUUCGGAGUUUAGGGUUUUU